Molecule: long non-coding RNA, 206 nt
Organism: Pan troglodytes (chimpanzee)
Lineage: Eukaryota; Metazoa; Chordata; Mammalia; Primates; Hominidae
Exons: 2
Source: RefSeq, a predicted model, not a curated record
GAUACUGUCACUCCACAGAAGGGGGAAUGCUGCCGGUUUCUGGCUAGGUCCCUGUCCUGGGUAACACAAGAAUGAGGAGCGACCUCAGAGAGAAGACAAGUCUUCAUCCUUCGGGCGGAACCGGGUCCUCGCUCACAGAGCGGUCCAGGCCUCAGGCCUAGCCUCUGCCCCUCCCUAGCCUGAGGCUCCCUUCCUGGGCUGGACAC